This is a long non-coding RNA of Odocoileus virginianus texanus, 487 nucleotides long. RefSeq lists it as uncharacterized. The record is from RefSeq and is a predicted model, not a curated record. NCBI's taxonomy places the organism in Eukaryota, Metazoa, Chordata, Mammalia, Artiodactyla, Cervidae.
UCAGGGACUGUGUCUUUCGUUGCUGGGUGACCAAUUCCUGGCACAUAGGAGACUGUCACGGACUGUUUGUUGAGUGAAUGAACAGCCAUGAUAUGCUUGCGCAAGCCCAGGAUGAAAUGAGAAUUUCCGAAGGGAGAACUGAACAGUGACCAAGUCCUACUGGCUUGAUCUCCAAAGUAUAUCCAGUCACCAACAGCUUCUCAUCACCUGCGUACCUCCUACCCUGGACCACGUCACCAUCAUCUCUCUCUUGGACCACUGCAGUAGCCUCCAGUCUGAUUUCUCUGCUUCCGCCCUUGCACUCUGCAGUCUGCUUUCCAUACCACGUCAGAAGGAUCUCAAAAGUCCCAGGAAACUUGUUAUCGAAAGAUGCGAGGGAUCGGAAUGUAUAAUACAAAGCAGACACGCAGAGAAGAAUGAGUUUUAUGGCGCAGGAAGAGGACUAACUUUAUUGCCUAUAAAAUAAAGUCCACAUGCUACAAGUUGG